RNAcentral lists this ribosomal RNA (625 nucleotides) under bacterium LGM13. Its description in RNAcentral is "bacterial SSU rRNA". It matches the Rfam family "Bacterial small subunit ribosomal RNA", at positions 56 to 677 of the family's 1533-position model. The record is from RNAcentral.
UGCAGUCGAGCGGUAGAGAGAAGCUUGCUUCUCUUGAGAGCGGCGGACGGGUGAGUAAUGCCUAGGAAUCUGCCUGGUAGUGGGGGAUAACGUUCGGAAACGGACGCUAAUACCGCAUACGUCCUACGGGAGAAAGCAGGGGACCUUCGGGCCUUGCGCUAUCAGAUGAGCCUAGGUCGGAUUAGCUAGUUGGUGAGGUAAUGGCUCACCAAGGCGACGAUCCGUAACUGGUCUGAGAGGAUGAUCAGUCACACUGGAACUGAGACACGGUCCAGACUCCUACGGGAGGCAGCAGUGGGGAAUAUUGGACAAUGGGCGAAAGCCUGAUCCAGCCAUGCCGCGUGUGUGAAGAAGGUCUUCGGAUUGUAAAGCACUUUAAGUUGGGAGGAAGGGUUGUAGAUUAAUACUCUGCAAUUUUGACGUUACCGACAGAAUAAGCACCGGCUAACUCUGUGCCAGCAGCCGCGGUAAUACAGAGGGUGCAAGCGUUAAUCGGAAUUACUGGGCGUAAAGCGCGCGUAGGUGGUUUGUUAAGUUGGAUGUGAAAUCCCCGGGCUCAACCUGGGAACUGCAUUCAAAACUGACUGACUAGAGUAUGGUAGAGGGUGGUGGAAUUUCCUGUGUA